Phyllostomus discolor (pale spear-nosed bat) is the source of this 1610-nucleotide long non-coding RNA. RefSeq lists it as uncharacterized. The record is from RefSeq and is a predicted model, not a curated record. Lineage: Eukaryota; Metazoa; Chordata; Mammalia; Chiroptera; Phyllostomidae. The transcript has 2 exons.
ACCAGUUACCCUUUCCCACAUCACCCACCAAGUGUACAUACGGGCCUGCUGGUGAGGGACUGGCAUGCAGGGUGGAUAACCUUCACUACCAGGCUUGCAUGCAGUGUGUGUGAUAGCUGACCGCUCCCUCCAGGACAAUGGAAGAGCCUAGAAUCACUGUGAAUCUGGAGUUCAGGCAUUCCAGAAUUCAGAGAGAACUCAGGCAGCUGGCUGUUAAGCAGAUGUCAUAGAAGGGAACUGAUGGAUGUUUGGUAACAGAAGACACCUAGAGUGAUACAGAAUAAGCCAUGUGUCAUAUUGUUGUAUUUUUAAGCUUAUAGAUACCUAGACUGCUGUACCCUUUCUUUGUUAACACGGAAUACACCAAAUGACUUCUAUCAUUUUACUAUAGAAAUGUGAGGUCUUAGAGAGCUUCAUACGCUGACAGAUACAUUCCUGGAGUCACAUUACUGUGGGUACCACUCAAAUCUAGUGGCAGUUAAGCUUUUGGUAUGUUUACCAAACAAACCAAAGCUUGAGUAUUUUCUAUUUAAAGAAGAAAAAUUAGUCAUUGGAGAUAUUUUAAUCCUAACUUGAUUGUGUUUUCAUAUCAGGUAUUAUUUAGUAUUUUAGAACCAAACACUAAUGGCACAGUUAACAGAGCCAGCCUCUCAUGAUUUUAUUUAUUAAAUUUUCCUCUUGAUUUCUGAAAGGAGUACCAAGUUCGAGAUAAAGAACUUUUUAAAAUUACCCAGUAUAAAGACACUCCUUGCUUAGAAUUCUUUUAUGCAUUAAUUAAUCUGAUUCUAUGAUAAGGGAUUUAUUAAAAAAAGAAUUACCUUGUACUUUAAAUUGCAUUAUUGAUAUUAAAGUCUGUUAAAACAUCUCUUUUAAAUUCAAAGGAGAUACUGCUGUUUUUCUUUUUUGUUUUUUUUCCCACAAAACUAACCAAAAGGAAUGAAUUACUAAUUUUUUAAAAUACACUGUAUCUUUUCUAUUACUAAAAAUUUAAAAACCUACUUCCAGUUCCUUUCUAGUUAAUAUAAAUAACAUAUAGUUGUCUCUUCAUUAAGAUUUGUUAACCAGUUCAGUGAAUCAUCUACCUUUUCUGGAAUUGUCUUGUUCUGUGGUCUCUAAUCUCUCUCAAAAGUACUGAUUACUGUUUUCUAUUUUAAUUCAAAGUGAGUUUUAAAAAUAAGGUAUCUUUUCAUUUUAAGGUACCUUUUUAAAAUAAUUGAUCCUGGUAAUUCUCUAGGGAAGUGAUGAGGAAAUUCUUCAUCAAGUAACCAAGUAUAGGAUAUGAUCUUGAACUACAUUUGUUCUGAAAACAUUAUUUUUGUUAUUAAUAUCUCCCUCUGAGAGUCUCAUAUCUCAUUUUGAGACAAAUUUUGGUGUCUAAAUUAUAAUUAAAGAAGUUACAGCUAUGGUUAAUCAUAACGGACCAUUCAGCCCUGACUGGGGUGGCUCAGUUGGUUGGGCAUCUUGCUGCAAAGUAAAAGGUUUUUGGUUUGAUUCUCAGUCUGGGCACAUACCUGGGUUGUUUGUUCGGUCCCUGGUUGUGGGGAGUGUACGAGGGGCAACCGAUGAAUGUUUCUCGUUCAUCAAUGUUUCUUUCCCUCUCUUUCUUCCUC